AUACGUAGGGUGCGAGCGUUGUCCGGAAUUACUGGGCGUAAAGAGCUCGUAGGUGGUUUGUCGCGUCGUCUGUGAAAUUCCGGGGCUUAACUCCGGGCGUGCAGGCGAUACGGGCAUAACUUGAGUACUGUAGGGGAGACUGGAAUUCCUGGUGUAGCGGCGAAAUGCGCAGAUAUCAGGAGGAACACCGGUGGCGAAGGCGGGUCUCUGGGCAGUAACUGACGCUGAGGAGCGAAAGCAUGGGUAGCGAACAGGAUUAGAUACCCUGGUAGUCCAUGCCGUAAACGGUGGGCGCUAGGUGUAGGGGUCUUCCACGACUUCAGUGCCGUAGCUAACGCAUUAAGCGCCCCGCCUGGGGAGUACGGCCGCAAGGCUAAAACUCAAAGGAAUCGACGGGG
Molecule: ribosomal RNA, 398 nt
Filed under: uncultured bacterium
Lineage: Bacteria
Description: partial 16S ribosomal RNA
Rfam family: Bacterial small subunit ribosomal RNA
Source: RNAcentral